Molecule: ribosomal RNA, 715 nt
Filed under: uncultured archaeon
Lineage: Archaea
Description: bacterial SSU rRNA
Rfam family: Archaeal small subunit ribosomal RNA
Source: RNAcentral
GCUAUCGAGGUGGGACUAAGCCAUGCCAGUCGAACGCCCCCGGACUAUGGCGGGGGAGUGGCAGACUGCUCAGUAACACGUAGCUGACCUACCCUCGGGACGGAUAUAACCCCGGGAAACUGGGGCUAAUAUCCGAUAGGCGUGGAAUCCUGGAAUGGUUUCACGCCCAAACGUUAGCACGCCCAUGUCGCGUGCACACGCCCGAGGAUGGGGCUGCGGCCGAUCAGGCUGUUGGUGAGGUAACGGCUCACCAAACCUUUGACCGGUACGGGCCGUGAGAGCGGUAGCCCGGAGAUGGGCACUGAGACAAGGGCCCAGGCCCUACGGGGCGCAGCAGGCGCGAAACCUCCACAAUGCACGCAAGUGCGAUGGGGCUACCUCGAGUGCCGCCUGAAGAAGGCGGCUUUUCCAUUGUGUAAUGAGCCGUGGGAAUAAGAGGGGGGCAAGACUGGUGUCAGCCGCCGCGGUAACACCAGCCCCUCGAGUGGUGGGGAUGAUUAUUUGGCCUAAAGCGUCCGUAGCCGGCUCGGUAAAUCUCUCGUUAAAUCCAGCGUCCUAAGCGUUGGGCUGCGAGGGACACUGCCGAACUAGAGGGUGGGCGAAGUCAGCGGUAUUUCUGGGGUAGGGGCGAAAUCCAUUGAUCCCAGGAGGACCACCAGUGGCGAAGGCUGCUGACUAGAACACGCCUGACGGUCAGGGACGAAAGCUGGGGUAG